This 381-nucleotide ribosomal RNA is filed under the name marine Metazoa environmental sample. RNAcentral describes it as "SSU rRNA". It matches the Rfam family "Eukaryotic small subunit ribosomal RNA", at positions 587 to 972 of the family's 1831-position model. The record is from RNAcentral. Lineage: Eukaryota; Metazoa.
AGCUCCAAUAGCGUAUAUUAAAGUUGUUGCGGUUAAAAAGCUCGUAGUUGGAUUUCUGCUGAGGACGACCGGUCCGCCCUCUGGGUGAGCAUCUGGUUCGGCCUUGGCAUCUUCUUGGAGAACGUAACUGCACUUGACUGUGUGGUGCGGUAUCCAGGACUUUUACUUUGAGGAAAUUAGAGUGUUUCAAGCAGGCGCACGCCUUGAAUACAUUAGCAUGGAAUAAUAAGAUAGGACCUUGGUUCUAUUUUGUUGGUUUCUAGAGCUGAGGUAAUGAUUAAUAGGGAUAGUUGGGGGCAUUCGUAUUUAACUGUCAGAGGUGAAAUUCUUGGAUUUGUUAAAGGCGGACUACUUCGAAAGCAUUUGCCAAGGAUGUUUUCA